This 501-nucleotide ribosomal RNA is filed under the name uncultured bacterium. RNAcentral's name for it is "bacterial SSU rRNA". It matches the Rfam family "Bacterial small subunit ribosomal RNA", at positions 93 to 600 of the family's 1533-position model. The record is from RNAcentral.
UAGUGGCGAACGGGUGAGUAAUGCAUAGGUAAUCUGCCCCUAAGUUGGGAAUAACCUGUCGAAAGGCAGGCUAAUACCGAAUGUGAUUAUCUCUUCAUAAAAAGGGAUAAUUAAAGGGCUGAAAAGCCCGCUUAGGGAGGAGCUUAUGUCUGAUUAGCUAGUUGGUAGGGUAAUGGCCUACCAAGGCAAAGAUCAAUAACUGGCCUGAGAGGGUGGUCAGCCACACUGGAACUGACACACGGUCCAGACUCCUAGGGGAGGCAGCAGUGGGGAAUAUUGCGCAAUGGGGCGAAAAGCCUGACGCAACGACCCCGCGUGGGCGAUGAAGGUUUUCGGAUCGUAAAGCCCCUUUUUGAGGGGACAAUAAUGACGGUACCCCUCAGAAUAACCCUCAGCUAUUUCCGUGCCACCACCCGCGGUAAACCGGAUGAGGCGAACGUUAUUCGGAUUUAUUGGGCAUUAAAGGGGGUUCAGGGCGAAAUACCAAGUCAAACAGGAAAU